CCACUAUAAAGGUUGUACCCAAUCGCAAAGUCGGCCCAGUGCUCUAAAAACCCAAAACCCUCCUUCCUGCACCAAGACUUAAGCCACGCAUUGACCUCUCUAACCUCCCGCUGCCUUUCCACUGUAGCGCGUGGCACAGGUAAUAUCUCAGAGAAUACCACCUUGGACGUCCUUUUCUUAAGUUUGCUACCUAAUUCCCUGAAAUCAUUCUUUAGGACCUUCCAUCUUCCUCUUACUUUGUCAUUGGUACCAACAUGGACCAUGACCGCUGGGUCAUCCCCAGCCCCUCCCAAUAAUCCAUCCACUCUGUCAGCAACAUGCCGGACCUGAGCACCCAGGAGACAGCAAACUGUCCGGUUGAGCCGAUCAGAGCGGCAGAUUGCCCUAUCUGCUCUCCUAAUGAUAGAGUCCCCUACCACCACAACCUGUCUUGUCUUCCUUACAUUUUGAUCCCCACCCGUACUAGGGGGGCUGUUAGAAGUAACAGCUUCCUCUAAUACAGCUACUCCUGAGCUGAUGCUCCCAACAUCUUCCCUCAAACGGGCAAAUCUGCUAGGUUGCACCAAAUCAGGACUAGCU
This is a non-coding RNA of Pelobates cultripes (western spadefoot toad), 579 nucleotides long. NCBI's taxonomy places the organism in Eukaryota, Metazoa, Chordata, Amphibia, Anura, Pelobatidae. The record is from the annotation of a GenBank genome assembly.